AAAAAUAAAUAAACAAAUAAAAAUACAUCAAAAAACAAAAUCCCAAUAUUGUUUUGAUGCAACUAUUGUUGUAUAACUUGUACUUGAUUAGAGUUUAUCAUAUCAAUAUGCUGAAUACAACUCCUUAAGAACUAGUUAUGAAAAGAAAGUAAUGAGCUUCCAAGUUUAUAGAUCUAAAAUUUCCCAGUCAAAUAUAAAUUGCUGCAGUGAGAUAACACAUCUAUUAAUCAUAAUACUUUGCUUGUUAAAACUAUCUGAUACUUCAGAAUUGCUUCACAAUAUCCCACAACGAAGAGUAUGCUCCAAGGAUUGCACAAAUGAUGCCCAAUGCAGCAAUUGUAGAGCUCAAAAUAAUCUGUGUUCUUGUUGCUUUCUUCCCCUUGAUCUUUAGAAAACAUAAUGAUGGCAUUAUUACUGCCACGAGCAGACUGAGGACAGAACCAAUUAAAGCCAUCACGAGACCAAAAAAAGGAAGAAGAAAAGCCACACAAACAGAUGAGAAGACCAAUCCUGUUCUUAGAAAAACGAAGCACCACAAACUACUCGAUACUCCAACUGGCAGUAGCUCCUCUAUACUCCUGGCCAAUGGAUUCAUCAACAAAGCAUACUUGUUCAUUAUUAAGGGAAAAAAAAAUAAUUGAAUAAAUGAAACCGAGAGGCAAUUCAAAGUCCAAACAGGACAUCUCUUAUUAUGUAAUUCAGUUCUGUUAUUGAUUUUUUUGUCUUCCUUUUAGAAACAACAAAAUGGCACAAAAAAUUCAAUUCAAGUUCAAACAUCAUAGGCAUAUCAGAUAAUCAUAACUGCUGAUUGUAUUGUAAGUCAACAAUUAGUUUCAAAAGGAUAUUUGGUAAGUGGGUUGAUAACUGUAGUCCACAAGGCGAUUUUUGAAGUGAAGGCAUGUGGUGGCAUAUUCAAUGUUAUUUGAGAUAGGGUAUCUUCACCGAACAUGAGAAAUCCCAUUACCGCAAUGCCCCCAUAAAGCAGUAAGCACAAGAUGAAGCAUAUUAUUGCUGCCUUGGUAAAUUUUGUUUUAUCAGCCAUUGAUUGAUAGAUAUUCGGAAAAACUGAGUGCCCAGAAUAACAGAACCCGUAAACACCAAUUGCAAAUGGAAUGCCACUCCAUUUUACCACUGGACUAGUUUGAUGAAACCCAGCACCCCCUGCUGUACCAAGGAUAAUCACACAAAGAACAAUCAAAAUUGUCGCUACAACUCCACCAGCUGAAAGGUAUGAUAUGACACGAAGAUCCCUUAGCCAAACAGUUGGCAGGACAAUAAGCGCAGUUAGGAUUCCAAAGAAGUGCAUGGAGUCAAGAUGAAAGCCAGCCCAAUACAAGGACGUUCCAGGAAAUAGCCUAGUAAGAUUAUCACCCUCCAAAGUAAUAAAUUCCACACAGUAUGAAUAUAACUCCAUAUACAGAAUGAUAGCUAUAGCAAGACGUCCAUAUUUCCCAAAAGCAGCUUCACCUAUAUCUGGGUAGGUCAAGAUACCUUCUUUGCUUUCAAAGCAAUGUCUCAUAAGAUAUGCUGUGUAACAACACACAAAUGCGAAACAAGCUAGUACUACCAAACUUGCCCAGCCUGCUUCUUUCACCGUAUAAGGUGUUGAAAGAAGACCAACUCCAACCAUCACAUUAACCGAAUUGAAGACAGUUUGUGUGAAGCCACAUCCAUGAGCAAUGGGUAAUUCACCACUGGCAAAGGAACCUUUUGAGAAUGACAAUUGUGCUGCUGAAAUCAUAUCCGAGUCUUCCUUCUGAAAACCCUUUUCUUGAUCAGACAGUAAAGGAAACUCUCCAUCUUGUUCUAAAUAACUCUUACUACAGCUUUCAAGACUUGAAUAAUGGCAGCUUUGUGCAUGUCGAAGCAACCCAAAGCUUGGGGACAUUGAGAUUGAGUAAGAAUCAACUGUUUCCCUGUAGCUUUGAGGCCAUUGCUGAGAAGAGAAAGUUCCACAACCAUCACCAUUAUCAGCCGCUUCUCCGCUGCUACUGGUACUGCUGCUCCUACCACCAAUCUCAAUUAUCUUGUUCCCUUCUAAGUCUCCAAUAUUAUACUCACCAUCAUCGUCGUCAUCAUCCAAGAAAAACUCUGCUUCUUCUCUCUCUUUAUCCUUCUCCGCCAUUAACACCAGCCUAGAAGUAGGAAAAAAUAAAGAAACCAAAACAGAGAACAACCAGAGUAGAGGAGAUGGAGAGAAAAAGAGUAUAUAUAUAUAUGUAUAUAAGGUAUGGGAGCUUCUGGAGAGUAUUGAAUGGCGGCGUUUAAGCUGGCUAACUUUAUAUGGGCAUGUGAGCUUCCCGAAAGAGUGUUUGUUCUUGAAACUGAAAAUACAGAUUGGCUUCUCUUUUCUUUGCUUGAUUUGGUAGUUUGUGGUUGCAUUCUUAGAGGUGAUGGGUGGCCAAGAUUGGCAAAUGACAAGGCAACAUGCACGGCCGGUGACGAUUGUUCGGGGAGGUGUCG
This 2463-nucleotide unclassified non-coding RNA is filed under the name Hevea brasiliensis (rubber tree). The record is from RNAcentral. Lineage: Eukaryota; Viridiplantae; Streptophyta; Magnoliopsida; Malpighiales; Euphorbiaceae.